UUUUUCAGGUAUUUCUUAUGAAGCUUCAAAGCACCAGCACAAGCUUUUUUGGCAUCUAAAUUUCCAUUUACAUCAUUCAGAAUCUUAACCAAAACAAAGUCCUCUAGCUUCCUGUAAUAGCUUUUCUCUUUUUUCCUUGAGAACACUUGCAACCAUGAAAACUGAAAUUGGAACUGGACCAUCAGUAUCCUCAGAUCCAUUUUUCGAAUUCUCUUUAUCUUUGUCUUUGUCCCACUUGCCAAAAUGGCGUACCCCUCUCAAUUUUGAUUUAGAUACUUUACUUUUGUGAGCACUUGCAUCUUCACAAGCGGCAAAGAAGAUGUCGGGAUCAUAUUCCAGAGCCCACAUCAUCUGUUGACAGAUACAGGGAGUCCCCAAAUGACACUUCGCGUCGAAAUAGCACCAUGAACAUACGAAAUGCAAAAAGAUAAUCACCUCCACCAAGUAUUUCUAGGUGGUCAUGUAGCUUUGGAUCAAGCACCUGAAUAAUAGAUGCAAGGUACUGAAGUUGAUUAGCCACACCCACAGAUUGAUCCGUGCAUUUGAAAUUUCCUCUCAAUCUACGCAUCAAUUUCUCAAAGCACCAAAAGGCAUCUGCUUCAUCCUUGAGUAGCACGAUCAUUGGCGAGCAUAAAUCGCUCAUUCCUGUUUUGAGUAACCAACAUCUUUAUCAAUCCAAGCAUACACAGCUAGAAUAUCCCACAACUUGGAAAGAUUUUCUUUGUUCUCAUAAAAUACCAUAGUGCGGUCCGUACGUAGCACAUCAACAUACCAAUUUGAUGCAAAGUAAGCUUCCAGUCAAUAAUGAGCUUAUCUGUAAUACGGCUUGCAGAUUCAUCUAUUUCAUUUCCAUUUGUGCUGCUUGUUGAAGUACCGUCUGAUGUGUUUUCGGAUGAAGUAGCCUCGAGUAAAACCAAAGGGUCUUUGAUGGGUCUACCAUCCUCAGUGAUUAAUGGUGCUGUGAUCACUUUCCCGCUACCAACAUGAGAAUCCAUCUCUCGGCAGUCUUCCUUCCAUCUAGCAUAUUUACCUUCUUAUUUGCCUGAUUUCCUCCCUCUCAUCAAAGGUACUCCUGGGAUCAAAACAUCCAAGUAAAAACUCCCAAACCUCUCCCCUUACUGUUGGAUGCACACCC
RNAcentral lists this small RNA (1135 nucleotides) under Oryza sativa Japonica Group (Japanese rice). Its description in RNAcentral is "sRNA Os07g0525451". The record is from RNAcentral. Lineage: Eukaryota; Viridiplantae; Streptophyta; Magnoliopsida; Poales; Poaceae.